AAGGCUGAAAUUCGCCUUCAUGAAGCUGGAAUUGCUAGUAAUGGCAGGUCAGCAUACUGCCGUGAAUACGUUCCCGGGCCCUUGUACACACCGCCCGUCACACCAUGAGAGUUGGAAAUACCCGAAGCCUGUGAGCUAACAGUAAUGAGGCAGCAGUCGAAGGUAGAGCCAAUGAUUGGGGUGAAGUCGUAACAAGGUACC
This 201-nucleotide ribosomal RNA is filed under the name uncultured bacterium. RNAcentral's name for it is "partial 16S ribosomal RNA". It matches the Rfam family "Bacterial small subunit ribosomal RNA", at positions 1301 to 1500 of the family's 1533-position model. The record is from RNAcentral.